GAAAAGCUCUGUCACAGCUGCUAGGAUAGUCUCCUGUUAUACUCUCAUGUCUAGUUGCUAGUGCACAAGAAAAAUCACAAAAGUACCUAAUAAAAAGAACAAAACUGGCCACCUGUGGGUGCCAUCUGGUGGUGAGCACUCUGAUCCUGAUCCAGCAAUGUUUUGGAAUGCAUGCUUACCUUUAAAGGCAUGAACGUUCUUCUGAAGUGUGUAAGCUAAAUCACGCACAGCCUGCUAGGCACGUUGGAAGAAUGAAUCCUAAUGCAAGUCCUCCUAUGGAGAUUCAUUAGAAGGGCAAAUAUUUUAAGAACUAAGGCUUGUAGCAACCCUGAGAAGGAAAAAGCACUUCUUGCUCAUGGGAAGACUGAAGAACAAGGCAAGGAGAUCUGUUGUGAUGUCACAGGACACAUGAGAAAGCAUGGAAGGGCUGGGAACAGAGCUCAGCAGCUAUCUUCAUUCUGCUGUCUUUGCCACAGUGUUGGAUCUGCCUUGCCAAUGUGUUUAGACUGUUACUGUAAUCUGGAAUACAACCUGCUUACUGUGACGGUAAUGCUUUUUUCUUCAGGCAAUACAUUCACAAACAGUACAUUUUGCCUGUUGUGCUGCUGUUGUCUGGUAAUUUGA
Molecule: long non-coding RNA, 624 nt
Organism: Apteryx rowi (Okarito brown kiwi)
Lineage: Eukaryota; Metazoa; Chordata; Aves; Apterygiformes; Apterygidae
Source: Ensembl